This 253-nucleotide ribosomal RNA is filed under the name uncultured bacterium. RNAcentral's name for it is "partial 16S ribosomal RNA". It matches the Rfam family "Bacterial small subunit ribosomal RNA", at positions 524 to 776 of the family's 1533-position model. The record is from RNAcentral.
UACAGAGGAUGCAAGCGUUAUCCGGAAUGAUUGGGCGUAAAGCGUCUGUAGGUGGCUUUUUAAGUCCGCCGUCAAAUCCCAGGGCUCAACUCUGGACAGGCGGUGGAAACUACCAAGCUGGAGUACGGUAGGGGCAGAGGGAAUUCCCGGUGUAGCGGUGAAAUGCGUAGAGAUCGGGAGGAACACCAGUGGCGAAGGCGGCUACCUGGACCAGCACUGACACUGAGGCACGAAAGCGUGGGGAGCAAACAGG